GCCGACAUAGCUCAGUUGGUAGAGCAAGCGGCUGUUAACCGCUGGGUCACAGGUUCGAGUCCUGUUGUCGGCGCCA
This 76-nucleotide transfer RNA is filed under the name Deltaproteobacteria bacterium. Its description in RNAcentral is "tRNA-Asn". It matches the Rfam family "tRNA". From Rfam's summary of the family: Transfer RNA (tRNA) molecules are approximately 80 nucleotides in length. Lineage: Bacteria; Pseudomonadati; Myxococcota; Myxococcia. The record is from RNAcentral.